This 269-nucleotide ribosomal RNA is filed under the name uncultured prokaryote. Its description in RNAcentral is "partial 16S ribosomal RNA". It matches the Rfam family "Bacterial small subunit ribosomal RNA", at positions 524 to 792 of the family's 1533-position model. The record is from RNAcentral.
UACGGGGGGAGCAAGCGUUGUCCGGAUUCAUUGGGCGUAAAGGGCGUGUAGGCGGGAUUGUAAGUCGGUGGUGAAAAUUCGGGGCUCAACCCUGAACCUGCCAUCGAAACUGCAGUUCUUGAGUGCAGGAGAGGGAACUGGAAUUCCUGGUGUAGCGGUGGAAUGCAUAGAUAUCAGGAAGAACACCGGUUGCGAAGGCGAGUUCCUGGUCUGACACUGACGCUGAGGCGCGAAAGCGUGGGGAGCGAACAGGAUUAGAUACCCGCGUA